This 265-nucleotide unclassified non-coding RNA is filed under the name uncultured fungus. RNAcentral describes it as "sequence contains ITS2". The record is from RNAcentral. Lineage: Eukaryota; Fungi.
AACGCACAUUGCGCCCUUUGGUAUUCCGAAGGGCAUGCCUAUUCGAGCGUCAUUAUCAACCCUCAAGCCUGGCUUGUUAUUGGGUCUUGUAUCAAUUUUCGGAUUGAUAGGCCUGAAAGAUAAUGGCGGUGUCACUAAAUGACUCCUGGUGCAGCGAGCUUUUUAACUAGCAUACACUGGACAGUCUUUAAUGAAACCUCGCCUGAAAAUCUCCAUUUUCUUCAAGGUUGACCUCGGAUUAGGUAGGAAUACCCGCUGAACUUAA